CCUACGCGAGGCAGCAGUGGGGGAUAUUGCACAAUGGGGGAAACCCUGAUGCAGCGACGCCGCGUGGGUGAAGAAGCGCCUCGGCGCGUACAGCCCUGUCAGCAGGGAAGAAAAUGACGGUACCUGAAGAAGACGCCCCGGCUAACUACGUGCCAGCAGCCGCGGUAAUACGUAGGGGGCAAGCGUUAUCCGGAUUUACUGGGUGUAAAGGGGGCGCAGACGGCGAUGCAAGCCAGGCGUGGAAGCCCGGGGCCCAACCCCGGGACUGCUCUUGGAACUGCGUGGCGAGAGGGCAGGAGGGGCAGGCGGAAUUCCUGGGGUAGCGGUGAAAUGCGUAGAGAUCAGGAGGAACACCGGUGGCGAAGGCGGCCUGCUGGACUGCAACUGACGUUGAGGCCCGAAAGCGUGGGGAGCAAACAGGAUGAGAUACCCUUGUAGUC
This 440-nucleotide ribosomal RNA is filed under the name uncultured bacterium. Its description in RNAcentral is "partial 16S ribosomal RNA". It matches the Rfam family "Bacterial small subunit ribosomal RNA", at positions 338 to 795 of the family's 1533-position model. The record is from RNAcentral.